RNAcentral lists this ribosomal RNA (253 nucleotides) under uncultured bacterium. RNAcentral's name for it is "partial 16S ribosomal RNA". It matches the Rfam family "Bacterial small subunit ribosomal RNA", at positions 524 to 776 of the family's 1533-position model. The record is from RNAcentral.
UACGUAGGGUGCGAGCGUUGUCCGGAAUUAUUGGGCGUAAAGGGCUCGUAGGCGGUUUGUCGCGUCGGGAGUGAAAACUCAGGGCUUAACCCUGAGCCUGCUCCCGAUACGGGCAGACUAGAGGUAUGCAGGGGAGAACGGAAUUCCUGGUGUAGCGGUGAAAUGCGCAGAUAUCAGGAGGAACACCGGUGGCGAAGGCGGUUCUCUGGGCAUUACCUGACGCUGAGACGCGAAAGCGUGGGGAGCGAACCGG